AAAUAUUGGGUCACAGGGGCUCAGGGCCAACACGGGAAGAAAAAGGAAUAGGAGGAGGAACGAGUGUAGGUACAGACUGCCGGUCCCUACCGAGCGCAGCUACGAUCCACAGCAGCGACCAGAGGUACGGGUUACCGGUCUCUACCGAGACGCGCAACUACCAGAGGUGCGGACCACGGUCCAACCGGGUCUAGCCGCACGGGGACACCGACGCAAGGAUAAGACGUUGUGAUCGUCGUUUUCCUCGUUCGGCCCCCGCAAGUUGUUAACAAGCUAGAACAUGAAGUAGGCGAGAGGUGCGAAGCUGGGCGGUUUAGGGUAGUCCUUUGAAAAAAGUUUCACUCGUCACGAAAGUUGGGGGGUACAGUAAGGGAGAGUUACUAAACAAACUAGUACGACACGUACUCACGGACAACUCUUGUAAGUGCUCUACGGACAAAUCUUGUAAGUCCAUUACGGCUCACUCGUAUAAGGG
RNAcentral lists this ribosomal RNA (475 nucleotides) under Triticum aestivum (bread wheat). RNAcentral describes it as "partial small subunit ribosomal RNA". The record is from RNAcentral. Lineage: Eukaryota; Viridiplantae; Streptophyta; Magnoliopsida; Poales; Poaceae.